RNAcentral lists this unclassified non-coding RNA (354 nucleotides) under soil metagenome. RNAcentral's name for it is "partial contains 5.8S ribosomal RNA, internal transcribed spacer 2, and large subunit ribosomal RNA". The stretch from base 1 to 120 matches the Rfam family "5.8S ribosomal RNA", at positions 35 to 154 of the family's 154-position model. The record is from RNAcentral.
GAUGAAGAACGUAGCGAAACGCGAUAUGUAAUGUGAAUUGCAGAAUUCAGUGAAUCAUCGAAUCUUUGAACGCACAUGGCGCCUUCCAGUAUCCUGGGAGGCAUGCCUGUCCGAGCGUCGUUUCAACCCUCGAGCCCCCGUGGCCCGGCGUUGGGGAUCUGCCCAGGCAGUCCCCGAAAACCAGUGGCGGACCCGUUACAGGCCCUUCCCUUGCGUAGUAGCAUUCGCCUCGCAUCGGGAGCCGGCGGGCUUCCAGCCUCUAAACCCCCAUCAAGUCCGCCCCGGCGGCACCAAGGUUGACCUCGGAUCAGGUAGGAAUACCUGCUGAACUUAAGCAUAUCAAUAAGCGGAGGA